GAUGGACGCUGGCGGCGUGCCUAAUACAUGCAAGUCGAGCGAACAGACGAGGAGCUUGCUCCUCUGACGUUAGCGGCGGACGGGUGAGUAACACGUGGAUAACCUACCUAUAAGACUGGGAUAACUUCGGGAAACCGGAGCUAAUACCGGAUAAUAUAUUGAACCGCAUGGUUCAAUAGUGAAAGACGGUUUUGCCGUCACUUAUAGAUGGAUCCGCGCCGCAUUAGCUAGUUGGUAAGGUAACGGCUUACCAAGGCAACGAUGCGUAGCCGACCUGAGAGGGUGAUCGGCCACACUGGAACUGAGACACGGUCCAGACUCCUACGGGAGGCAGCAGUAGGGAAUCUUCCGCAAUGGGCGAAAGCCUGACGGAGCAACGCCGCGUGAGUGAUGAAGGUCUUCGGAUCGUAAAACUCUGUCAUUAGGGAAGAACAAAUGUGUAAGUAACUAUGCACGUCUUGACGGUACCUAAUCAGAAAGCCACGGCUAACUACGUG
RNAcentral lists this ribosomal RNA (497 nucleotides) under uncultured bacterium. Its description in RNAcentral is "partial 16S ribosomal RNA". It matches the Rfam family "Bacterial small subunit ribosomal RNA", at positions 28 to 507 of the family's 1533-position model. The record is from RNAcentral.